This 254-nucleotide ribosomal RNA is filed under the name uncultured bacterium. Its description in RNAcentral is "partial 16S ribosomal RNA". It matches the Rfam family "Bacterial small subunit ribosomal RNA", at positions 524 to 776 of the family's 1533-position model. The record is from RNAcentral.
UACGUAGGCAGCAAGCGUUUGUUCGGAAUUACUGGGCGUAAAGAGUGUGUAGGCGGUGCUCUAAGUCUGUUGUGAAAUCUCCCGGCUUAACCGGGAGGGUGCGGCGGAAACUGGAGUGCUUGAGGGUGGGAGAGGUAAGCGGAAUUCCUGGUGUAGCGGUGAAAUGCGUAGAUAUCAGGAGGAACACCUGUGGUGUAGACAGCUUACUGGACCACUUCUGACGCUGAGACACGAAAGCGUGGGUAGCAAACAGG